GACGAACGCUGGCGGCGUGCUUAACACAUGCAAGUCGAACGGAAAGGCCCUGCUUUUGUGGGGUGCUCGAGUGGCGAACGGGUGAGUAACACGUGAGUAACCUGCCCUUGACUUUGGGAUAACUUCAGGAAACUGGGGCUAAUACCGUAUAGGAGCUCCUGCUGCAUGGUGGGGGUUGGAAAGUUUCGGCGGUUGGGGAUGGACUAGCGGCUUAUCAGCUUGUUGGUGGGGUAGUGGCUUACCAAGGCUUUGACGGGUAGCCGGCCUGAGAGGGUGACCGGCCACAUUAGGACUGAGAUACGGCCCAGACUCCUACGUGAGACAGCAGUGGCGAAUAUUGCACAAUGGUCGGAAGCCUGAUGCAGCAACGCCGCGUUCGGGAUGACGGCCUUCGGGUUGUAAACCGCUUUCGCCUGUGACGAAGCGUUAGUGACGGUAAUGAAUAAAGAAGCACCGGCUAACUACGUG
RNAcentral lists this ribosomal RNA (468 nucleotides) under uncultured bacterium. RNAcentral's name for it is "partial 16S ribosomal RNA". It matches the Rfam family "Bacterial small subunit ribosomal RNA", at positions 28 to 507 of the family's 1533-position model. The record is from RNAcentral.